This is a long non-coding RNA of Nothoprocta perdicaria, 264 nucleotides long. RefSeq lists it as uncharacterized. The record is from RefSeq and is a predicted model, not a curated record. The transcript has 3 exons. Lineage: Eukaryota; Metazoa; Chordata; Aves; Tinamiformes; Tinamidae.
UCUUUUGGACUGAGCUAUUCUGUUGCUUUUGUUGAGCUUAAAAUGAAGCACGGGGUAGCUGUGAUGGCCGUAUUUUCUGCUGGCAGGAGCAAGACUACAUUUUCCUGUGUGCACAGCAAACAAGAUAGAAGUUUUCCUUAUGCUUUUGACAAACUUGAUCCUAGUAUUGUGGGGUAUGAUUGCUUUAAGAUGAUAAAGUCUUAUAUGAGAGGAUAUUCUAUACUUUGCAUCCAUAUCCACCCCUGGUUUUUCUGCAGCAUGCAC